Molecule: unclassified non-coding RNA, 360 nt
Organism: Cavia porcellus (domestic guinea pig)
Lineage: Eukaryota; Metazoa; Chordata; Mammalia; Rodentia; Caviidae
Gene: 7SK
Rfam family: 7SK RNA
About the family: 7SK was discovered as an abundant small nuclear RNA in the mid-70s but a possible function has only recently been suggested. Two independent studies have found that 7SK RNA binds the CDK9/cyclin T complex (known as elongation factor P-TEFb).
Source: Ensembl
AGAUGUGAGCAUGGUCUCACUGUGACAUCUGUCACCCCAUUAAUUGCCAGAGUUGAUGCUGCUGAUCUGGCUGGCUAGUGGGUAUCCCCUUCCACACUCAGUGUUCCAUAUGUGCUUGUCCCAAAGCUGCACCUAUGCUCGGUUGGUAGAAGAGGACAACCAGGCCCAACAGAGGACUACCAUUCCUCAGCCAAGGUAAUAGGAGUAACUGUGCUCCCCAGUAGAACAAGCUCCAAACAAGCUCUCAAAGCCCACAAGUCAAUAUGUAAAAGAAUGUCUCAUGUAUUUUUGUUUCUUGUAUUUUCAUUUUUUUUACACAUAUUUUUAAAAGCCAGUUAGUGGGAAACUAGGGCUGCCGGA